GCAGGUCAAAGCGGCAAAUUCAAAACCAUAGCUACUCAGCCGCCAGAUUUUGAAGGGAAGCAGAGUAGAAAUCACAGUUAGAUGCCUCAGUAUCCUUAUCUGUAAAACUGCUGCCAUUAAAGUGGCAAGAGAAGCUGACCUCAUUGGAAAGUGUCACCUGGACUCUCCUCAGCUGGUUUCCAUUUGCAUUUGGGCAGUGGAAGGCAUUCGGGAAGAUGGGAGGCAAAAGAAAAAAGACAUCAGGAUAUGUAUUCUCCAUUCUUUCUCUGGUUUUGGCUACAGAUCUGCUGGUGGAUAUGUUUAUCAUAAAUGUACCUCCCUUGACAAAUGGUUCUUCCUUUAGGGCUCAAAUUCACUGAAUUCUGGAAACACUUUGCUCCCUUGCUAUAUAUCCCAGAGGUGGCACAGGUUCCUGCUGUUGCUAGAUUCUAAACAUUUCAACUAGGGGCCAUAAAGACCAAGGCAUGAUUAGAAGUCUGGAACUUGCAGCCCCAUUCCCCCAAUCCUCCAAAAAGGGGAGGAGAGUGGACAGCAGCUGGUGUGCACAUGAAGACGUCUCCAUAAAAAUCCCUGACCUAGGGGAUUUGGGAGCUUCUGGGUUGCUGAACAAGUAGAGGUGCUUGGAAGGUGGCAAUAGAAGCCCUUCUCCCCUUCUCCCAUACCUUGCCCUAUGUACCUCUUCAUCUGGCUGUUCAUCUGUAUCCUUUGUAAUGUCCUUAAUAAUAAACUGGUUAAUGUAAGUAAACAGUUUCCCUGAAUUCUGGGAGCCACUCUAGCAAACGAACGUAACCCGAGGACGGGGGUCAUGGGAACCACCCAAUAAUAAAUAGCAAGGUGAUCAAAAGUUCCAGGGUCUGGUAAGACUGAGCCCUUACCUGUGGGAUCUGGCUUUAACUUCCCAUAGAUGGAAUCAGAAUUGAAUUGAAUUAUAGGACACUCAGUUGGUGUCUACUGAAGAAUUACUUGGUGGCGCGAAAAGCACAUUUUGGUGAUCAGAAGUGUUCUGUACUGUGUUGAGUGUGAGAGUAGAAAAACAACUUAUUUAGUUUUUCCUACCGUAUACACAAUAUAUAUUCCCCCACUUCUUUGCAGUUUUUCAUGAGAGGGACACACUAUCCCUUUGUGCCACCCAGAUUCACAAAAACCGUAUCUGAACCCUCUUUUUCAUCCUCCUCCUUCUAUGGUACACGUAAGCAUCCCUGGAAGUGCUGCACAGCUUGGCCUAGCAGUGUCCACCAAAAUUUUUCCAAGCAAACCUGGAAAUAAGUUUUGUCAAUUUUAAAAUUUAUUCUUCCCAAUGCCAACUCUUUAUCUUCCUCUUGCCCUCCAAGAAUGUAUAAAAAAAGGAUGCAUUAACUGUGUUAAAAUAUUUGUGGUCACGGGCGGCGCCUGUGGCUCAGUGAGUAGGGCGCCAGCCCUUUAUACCGAGGAUGGUGGGUUCAAACCCAGCCCCGGCCAAACUGCAACCAAAAAGUAGCCAGGCGUUGUGGCAGGCACCUGUAGUCGGGAGGCUGAGGCAAGAGAAUGGCGUAAGCCCAAGAGCUAGGGG
Nycticebus coucang (slow loris) is the source of this 1549-nucleotide long non-coding RNA. RefSeq lists it as uncharacterized. The record is from RefSeq and is a predicted model, not a curated record. The transcript has 3 exons. NCBI's taxonomy places the organism in Eukaryota, Metazoa, Chordata, Mammalia, Primates, Lorisidae.